Molecule: long non-coding RNA, 683 nt
Filed under: Penaeus japonicus
Lineage: Eukaryota; Metazoa; Arthropoda; Malacostraca; Decapoda; Penaeidae
Description: uncharacterized LOC122262702
Source: RNAcentral
GAGAGGGAGAGCGCUGCCAUCGACACAUUGCGUCCAAACCCUCCAAUGUGUUUCUCAAGUGCCGGUAUUAAAACGCAUAGAUUGAUCUCUCUCGUGUCUUUCGAGAUGAGAGGAGCAUCAUCGUGAAGGAAUUUCGAAGAGAGUUACCGAGAAGCGAGGUUCAUAGCCAGUGCAAUCCCGAAAAGUCGAGGAAUUCUUCUAUGACUCAUGAGAAACGAACACUAGAACAUUAUCUGUGACUGUUUUGGUUUGGUGAAACCUGUAGGAGUUGGUGUGUUGCUUAUCUCUCUUCCCCCUCCCUCGCAGAGGAGCUGAAUUCGGUCGGGACUUCUUGAAAGAGCUGGAGCGGCAAGUCACUUACGUCACAGCCAGUCGCGGUGUGGCUGUAACGAGUCGAACGCGAACCAGAGACUUCAGUUGUUGGUAAGAGACUCGUGGAAUUAUCUAGUACUGUGAACAGCGGCCGGUAGGUAGCGUUGUGGUCGAGUGGUAUCGGGUAUCGGGUAUAAGGUAUAAGGUAUAAGGUAUAAGGUAUAAUAGAUCAUUAUGUAGAGGCAGAUGGACGUGGUAGAGAUGGUUAUGCUGAUAAUGGUACUGGAGUUUUUUUUCUUUUCUUUUCCAUCAGAUAAAGCGGAGGUGGAUAAGGGGAAUGCUGAAUAAUGGAGAUUGUUGUCUUUGUUAAU